UACGUAGGGUGCAAGCGUUAAUCGGAAUUACUGGGCGUAAAGCGUGCGCAGGCGGUUAUGUAAGUCAGAUGUGAAAUCCCCGGGCUUAACCUGGGAAUGGCAUUCGGGACUGCAAGGCUGGAGUGCGGCAGAGGAGACUGGAAUUCCUGGUGUAGCGGUGAAAUGCGCAGAUAUCAGGAAGAACACCAAUGGCGAAAGCAGCUCUCUGGGACGGUACUGACGCUGAGACGCGAAAGCGUGGGGAGCGAACAGG
This 253-nucleotide ribosomal RNA is filed under the name uncultured bacterium. RNAcentral's name for it is "partial 16S ribosomal RNA". It matches the Rfam family "Bacterial small subunit ribosomal RNA", at positions 524 to 776 of the family's 1533-position model. The record is from RNAcentral.